Molecule: ribosomal RNA, 351 nt
Filed under: uncultured bacterium
Lineage: Bacteria
Description: bacterial SSU rRNA
Rfam family: Bacterial small subunit ribosomal RNA
Source: RNAcentral
AACCAGCCGGAAACGGCUGCUAAUACCGCAUAAGCGCACGGUACCGCAUGGUACAGUGUGAAAAAACUCCCGGUGGUAUGGGAUGGAUCCGCGUCUGAUUAGCCAGUUGGCGGGGUUAACGGGCCCACCAAGGCGACGAUCAGUAGCCGGUCUGAGAGGAUGAACGGCCACAUUGGGACUGAGACACGGCCCCAGACUCCUACGGGAGGCAGCAGUGGGGAAUCUUGCACAAUGGGGGAAACCCUGAUGCAGCGACGCCGCGUGAACGAAGAAGUAUUUCGGUAUGUAAACGUUCUAUCAGCAGGGAAGAUAAUGACGGUACCUGACUAAGAAGCACCGGCUAAAUACGUG